Eutrema salsugineum is the source of this 1519-nucleotide long non-coding RNA. RefSeq lists it as uncharacterized. The transcript is spliced from 4 exons. NCBI's taxonomy places the organism in Eukaryota, Viridiplantae, Streptophyta, Magnoliopsida, Brassicales, Brassicaceae. The record is from RefSeq and is a predicted model, not a curated record.
CCUUGAGGUCUAUAUAUUCCAAAGAACCCAAGGGUGAAGUCGACCACUUUCCAGACCUACUGGCGGAAGUGUGGUCAAUCGAUUAAGUGCCAUGAGCCCCGAGUUUAGAUCUUCGACAUCUUCCGGAUUGAACGUCUGUGUUUAAGCAAUGAGCAUCAUUCACGAUUUGACGGACGGCUAGCUGAUCUCCCACUGGAAGGGCUCGAUGAAGGGCUUUCUAAACAAAAAGCUUUACCUUUGGAGCAGUGUGAAGAUUCCAGACUUGCUCAUUCCAGUUCACCACUGUGAGUUCACACUGGUCUCAGUCGUUCCAAAAUCCUCCGCAGCAACUAGGAUAAGGUGCUUAUAGCGUGGGAGGAUUACUUCUAUUUUUUCCAUGUCCCACUAAGAAGAGUUAUCUUUCAUUAGAUCCUUCACUAAACUCUUGGAAAGCUUCCGGCUGGGAACCAAAAGGUCUUAAUAACUCCUGAGACGAAACCCAAGGAUCAUCCCAAAUCUUGAUUGAUCCACCAUUUCCUACUGCCCAGCCUAAUUGUUUAAGAAGCAGGUCCCUUUCUGCUAUUAUGCUUUUCCAGCCGUGGGAGCACACAGAGGGAAUUGUACAGUCCAAGAUGGAGGUUUCUGAGAAGUAUUUUCCUUUGAGGAUUCUUCCCAAGAGACAGUUUGACUUUGUUAGCAGCCUCCAGCUAAUUUUUGCCAAGAGUGCAUCAUUGAAAUCAGAUAUGUCUCGAAAUCCCAAGCCUCCAAAUUGUUUUGGUUUUGCCAUCUUUUCCAUGAUAUCUAGCUAGUUUUCCUUUUGUUAGGUGAUGAGUCCCACCAAAAGCGUAUAAGGAUCGACUGGAUUUGUUUACAUAAGGAUACUGGCAAUUUAAAGCAUGUCAUUGCAUAUGAUGGCAUCAAGGUCACAACACUCUUCAACAUUACAAGUUUACCAGCUCUAGAAAGCAUCCUAGAUGCCCAACUUGCAGAUUUUUGGAUUAUGCGAUCAACUAUGGAUGCAAAUAAGUCAUUUUUCUUUCUUCUGAAGUGUUCUGGAAGACCCAUGUACUUUCCUACUCCUCCUUCAACUUCUAUAUGUAGCAGCUGCUUGAUUUUCUCAUUGACGGUGAUAUAUGAUUUUUGGUAGUUGAUCAGUUGUCUAGAUGCUGCUUCAUAGUCUGAUAGAAUUUGGUGUAGGGCCCUGCAGUUUUUCUCAUUUGCUGUGCAUAUAAACAUUUUAUCAUAUGCAAAGAGCAGAUGAUUAAUUCUCGGGCACCCUUUAGCCACUUUAACCCCGUGUAGUUUGCCUGAAUCCUGAGUUUUACAGCACAAGCCUUAGAGAAUCGCACUGCAUAGGAUAAAUAAGUAAGGGGAGAGGGGGUCUCCUUGUCUUAUUCCCCUGCUUGGUUUGAUAUAUCCUCUUGGGGCUCCAUUUAGCAGAAAGGAAAUGGAGCACUUCAUGUGUGACGAGGACAUUAUCAAAUACAGUGGAACCUCUAUAAAUUAAUACUCGAUAAAUUAAUAAUCACUAUAAAUUAAU